AAAUUUUUAUCUUACUGUGUUUUUUUGUUAAUAUUUGUUUUUUAAUUAAAAUAUUUUUGUUAAUUGGAGUUUUAGUAUAGAAUAUAGAAAAAAUUAUUUAAGUGGUAGUUAAUUAGUAUUGUGAAAGGUUGAUGAAAUAUAAUGAAAAUAUAAUUUUUAAAAAGUAAAUUUUAUUUAUUGUACCUUGUGUAUCAGGGUUUAUCAAAAAAUUUUUUAAAUAUUUAUAUUUCCCGAUUUAAAGAGAGCUAAUCAUUUAUUUUAGUUAAUGUGGAAUAAUUAUUAAUAAUAAAUGAUUAGAAAUGAAACGUUAUCCGUUCUUUAAGAUAUCUGGUUUUUUAAGAAAUGAAUUUAAUUCAGAAAUUAAUAAUUAAUUUUUUAAUUUUAUUAAUUAAUUAUAGUUUAAUUUUAAUAUUAUUGGGGAUAAGCUCAGUAAUAAUAUUUAUAAUUUAUUAUUCAUUAAAGACUUUGUAGGCUUAGAAUUAGCCAGCAAUUAAAGUAUGUUAUAAUUUAGUUUUUAUGAAAUAAAAUUUAUUUAGAUUUAAAUUGUUUAUUAAAAUGUUAUUUAGAAUUAUUUUAGAUUUAGAAUUAAUGAUAAAAUUAGUAUAUGAUAUUAUAUGUAUGAAAUUGAUUAUUUAAUGUAAGGUUACAUUAAGGAAUUAGGCAAAUUAAUGCUCGCCUGUUUAACAAAAACAUGUCUUCUUGAUAAUAAUUUGAAGUCUGACCUGCCCACUGAAAUAAUUUAAAGGGCCGCGGUAUUUUGACCGUGCAAAGGUAGCAUAAUCAUUAGUCUUUUAAUUGGAGGCUAGAAUGAAUGGUUGGACGAGGCAUUGACUGUCUCAGUGUAAAUGAAAUUAGAAUUUAACUUUUAAGUCAAAAGGCUUAAAUAGAUUUAAAGGACGAGAAGACCCUAUAGAGCUUUAUACAAUAAAUUUAUUAUUUAUUUAGAUUGAUUUUUAUAAUAAUUGAAGUUGUAUUUUGUUGGGGUGACAGAAAGAUAAAUUUAACUCUUUUUAUUUAUUUACAUUAAUUUAUGAUUUAUUGAUCCAUUAAUAGUGAUUAUAAGACUAAGUUACCUUAGGGAUAACAGCGUAAUCUUUUUCGAGAGUUCUUAUCGACAAAAAGGGUUGCGACCUCGAUGUUGGAUUAAGGGUAAUUUUGGGUGUAGAUGUUCAAAGUUUAAGUCUGUUCGACUUUUAAAUCCUUACAUGAUCUGAGUUCAGACCGGUGUAAGCCAGGUCGGUUUCUAUCCUUAAAAAAAAUUGAUAUUUUAGUACGAAAGGACCAAGUAUUGGGAAUAAUUUUUCUUUAGUUGUUGAAUAAUAGUAACAAAAU
Molecule: ribosomal RNA, 1332 nt
Filed under: Neonemura barrosi
Lineage: Eukaryota; Metazoa; Arthropoda; Insecta; Plecoptera; Notonemouridae
Description: 16S ribosomal RNA
Rfam family: Bacterial large subunit ribosomal RNA (bases 890-1253)
Source: RNAcentral